Long non-coding RNA from Cephus cinctus (wheat stem sawfly), 499 nucleotides. RefSeq lists it as uncharacterized. NCBI's taxonomy places the organism in Eukaryota, Metazoa, Arthropoda, Insecta, Hymenoptera, Cephidae. The transcript has 3 exons. The record is from RefSeq and is a predicted model, not a curated record.
CGAUUCGGGUCGUGCUUUCUUUAUGUGGCUGCCCAGUUUCAUUCGACACGCCAGAAAAAAGGAAUUCCUUGAUAUCGGACGGUUUAAAAGGAUCACGCAUGAGAAAGACUAUAUCCCUUUAAAAAAGUUUUGGAAAUGCAAAACAUGCUUGAUACCAAAAGUAUAAUGAUAAUGAUAUAUUAUUCGGACGCCUUCUGGAAUAUAGAGAAGAAGAGAAUAACGUUAGGAUAGACUGGUGGAGUACUUCCGACAACGCAAGGAAUUCCAAAAAAGACAUCGAACAUAACCGUCCAAAGGAUCCGCCAUCUUUCAACUUAUCGGCGCGUACUAUACGGAUGCAAUUCGUAGGAAAAAUAGCACUGUCCCCGAAGAAGCGUCCUUAUCUUCGUAUACGUCCCAAUGGCAAUUCGUCGGAAAAAUAUUUCCCGUAAUAGAUAUAGCUCAGGAAGUGUUUGCCAGGAACUGACGAGAUCCAGAGAAUCCUGAUUGGGAGUCGAUU